AAGGAAUUAGUUAAAUUAUAACAUUAAAUUGUCAAACUAAAAUUACCUUAUUUAAGGUAUUCCUUG
This 66-nucleotide transfer RNA is filed under the name Phymateus morbillosus. Its description in RNAcentral is "tRNA-Asp". The record is from RNAcentral. Lineage: Eukaryota; Metazoa; Arthropoda; Insecta; Orthoptera; Pyrgomorphidae.